Molecule: ribosomal RNA, 487 nt
Filed under: uncultured organism
Description: bacterial SSU rRNA
Rfam family: Bacterial small subunit ribosomal RNA
Source: RNAcentral
AUUGAACGCUGGCGGCAUGCUUUACACAUGCAAGUCGAACGGCAGCACGGGCUUCGGCCUGGUGGCGAGUGGCGAACGGGUGAGUAAUGCAUCGGAACGUGCCCAUGUCGUGGGGGAUAACGUAGCGAAAGCUACGCUAAUACCGCAUACGCCCUGAGGGGGAAAGCGGGGGAUUCUUCGGAACCUCGUGCGAUUGGAGCGGCCGAUGUCGGAUUAGCUAGUUGGUGGGGUAAAGGCCCACCAAGGCGACGAUCCGUAGCGGGUCUGAGAGGAUGAUCCGCCACACUGGGACUGAGACACGGCCCAGACUCCUACGGGAGGCAGCAGUGGGGAAUUUUGGACAAUGGGGGCAACCCUGAUCCAGCCAUGCCGCGUGAGUGAAGAAGGCCUUCGGGUUGUAAAGCUCUUUCGGCCGGGAAGAAAUCGUGGUCUCUAACAUAGGCCAUGGAUGACGGUACCGGACUAAGAAGCACCGGCUAACUACGUG